Molecule: ribosomal RNA, 253 nt
Filed under: uncultured bacterium
Lineage: Bacteria
Description: partial 16S ribosomal RNA
Rfam family: Bacterial small subunit ribosomal RNA
Source: RNAcentral
UACGGGGGGAGCAAGCGUUGUUCGGAUUUACUGGGCGUAAAGGGCGCGUAGGCGGCUAGAUGUGUCAAAGGUGAAAUCCCUCGGCUCAACUGAGGAACUGCCUUUGAAACUGUCUGGCUUGAGGCCGGGAGAGGGUAGCGGAAUUCCCAGUGUAGCGGUGAAAUGCGUAGAUAUUGGGAGGAACACCAGUGGCGAAGGCGGCUACCUGGACCGGUUCUGACGCUGAGGCGCGAAAGCGUGGGUAGCAAACAGG